RNAcentral lists this unclassified non-coding RNA (520 nucleotides) under uncultured Glomus. Its description in RNAcentral is "SSU rRNA". It matches the Rfam family "Eukaryotic small subunit ribosomal RNA", at positions 569 to 1090 of the family's 1831-position model. Lineage: Eukaryota; Fungi; Glomeromycota; Glomeromycetes; Glomerales; Glomeraceae. The record is from RNAcentral.
AGCAGCCGCGGUAAUUCCAGCUCCAAUAGCGUAUAUUAAAGUUGUUGCAGUUAAAAAGCUCGUAGUUGAAUUUCGGGAUCAAUAUGUCGGUCGUGCCUUCGGUACGUACUGGUAUCAUUGGUCUCUCCUUUCUGACGAACCAUGAUGUCAUUAAUUUGGUGUUAUGGGGAGUUAGGACUGUUACUUUGAAAAAAUUAGAGUGUUUAAAGCAGGCUUUAGCUUGAAUACAUUAGCAUGGAGUAAUGAAAUAGGACGUUCGAACCUAUUUUGUUGGUUUCUAGGAUCAACGUAAUGAUUAAUAGGGAUAGUUGGGGGCAUUAGUAUUCAAUUGUCAGAGGUGAAAUUCUUGGAUUUAUUGAAGACUAACUACUGCGAAAGCAUUUGCCAAGGAUGUUUUCAUUAAUCAAGAACGAAAGUUAGGGGAUCGAAGACGAUCAGAUACCGUCGUAGUCUUAACCAUAAACUAUGCCGACUAGGGAUCGGAUGAUGUUAAUUUUUUAAUGACUCAUUCGGCGCCUUA